RNAcentral lists this ribosomal RNA (758 nucleotides) under uncultured bacterium. RNAcentral's name for it is "bacterial SSU rRNA". It matches the Rfam family "Bacterial small subunit ribosomal RNA", at positions 1 to 760 of the family's 1533-position model. The record is from RNAcentral.
UAGAGUUUGAUCAUGGCUCAGAUUGAACGCUAGCGGGAGGCUUAACACAUGCAAGUCGAGGGGUAACAGGGAAGCUUGCUUCCGCUGACGACCGGCGCACGGGUGCGUAACGCGUAUGCAACCUGCCUUAUACAGAGGGAUAGCCUGGAGAAAUUCGGAUUAAUACCUCAUAAUAUUGAGAGUUCGCAUGAACUUUUAAUUUAAACUCAGGUGGUAUAAGAUGGGCAUGCGUGACAUUAGAUAGUUGGUGAGGUAACGGCUCACCAAGUCCACGAUGUCUAGGGGUCCUGAGAGGGUGAUCCCCCACACUGGUACUGAGACACGGACCAGACUCCUACGGGAGGCAGCAGUGAGGAAUAUUGGUCAAUGGAUGGAAGUCUGAACCAGCCAUCCCGCGUACAGGAAGACGGCCUUAUGGGUUGUAAACUGCUUUUAUAUACCAAGAAACCUGUCUACGUGUAGGCAGCUGACGGUAGUAUAUGAAUAAGCAUCGGCUAACUCCGUGCCAGCAGCCGCGGUAAUACGGAGGAUGCGAGCGUUAUCCGGAUUCAUUGGGUUUAAAGGGUGCGUAGGCGGUUUAUUAAGUCAGUGGUGAAAUCUUACGGCUCAACCGUGAAACUGCCAUUGAUACUGGUAGACUUGAGAACAGAUGAAGUAGGCGGAAUAUGUCAUGUAGCGGUGAAAUGCUUAGAUAUGACAUAGAACACCGAUAGCGAAGGCAGCUUACUAAGCUGUUUCUGACGCUGAUGCACGAAAGC